Long non-coding RNA from Jaculus jaculus (lesser Egyptian jerboa), 647 nucleotides. RefSeq lists it as uncharacterized. The transcript has 2 exons. Lineage: Eukaryota; Metazoa; Chordata; Mammalia; Rodentia; Dipodidae. The record is from RefSeq and is a predicted model, not a curated record.
GUCCGGCCCGGCCGCUGCACACCCAGGCAAGUCCUCCGCCUCCAGCCCGGCUCGGAUCGUCCACUCCACUGUUUGGCUCCGAGAGACCUUGAGACGCGCCUUGUGCACUCGGGGAUCGGCUGCAGCCAUAAAUCUCCGCGGGUCCCUCCUCACCACCGUUCACUCUCCGGUGUUCCGGGCCCACCUUGAGUCCCGGGCCGCCACGGGUGCCUUGUUCUGGUCACGGACGAGGAGAGGGGCACCCCGCAACUGCACGGGGAAUCAAGCCAGAGUGCUUCCCUAUCCGCCAGAGAGAGAGCACGGCCUCACCCAAUCGGUGCCACCGCCACCCAUCCCCACGAGUGUCGGACCCCGAAGUGGCUUGGGCCUCAAGGAUCACUGGGGUCUUUCCUAGAACUUCUAAAGGCACAUUCGGAGGGGCUGAGCAGGCGCGGGAGAGAAGUGAGCGCCAAGAGGCCAAGCUGCAGAACCACAUUCCGGCCCGAGCGGGUCCGCGGGGCCCCAGGAAGCGCCUCGGAAAACAAAGCCUUGUGGUCUCGGCCCAAGGUUAAAAUCCACCACGAGCUUUUUUUUUUUUUUCCCCUUUCCUUCUCCCUCUCCGGAAUCAGAGCGAUAGCGUUUCUACAAAUAAACCGCCAAUAAAUCAG